GGUAUCAGAAGUGCGAAUGCUGACAUAAGUAACGAUAAAGCGGGUGAAAAGCCCGCUCGCCGGAAGACCAAGGGUUCCUGUCCAACGUUAAUCGGGGCAGGGUGAGUCGACCCCUAAGGCGAGGCCGAAAGGCGUAGUCGAUGGGAAACGGGUUAAUAUUCCCGUACUUGGUGUUACUGCGAAGGGGGGACGGAGAAGGCUAUGUUGGCCGGGCGACGGUUGUCCCGGUUUAAGCGUGUAGGUGUGUGUUCCAGGUAAAUCCGGUUCACUUUAACACUGAGGCGUGAUGACGAGGCACUACGGUGCUGAAGCAACAAAUGCCCUGCUUCCAGGAAAAGCCUCUAAGCAUCAGGUAACAUCAAAUCGUACCCCAAACCGACACAGGUGGUCAGGUAGAGAAUACCAAGGCGCUUGAGAGAACUCGGGUGAAGGAACUAGGCAAAAUGGUGCCGUAACUUCGGGAGAAGGCACGCUGACAUGUAGGUGAAGUGAUUUACUCAUGGAGCUGAAGUCAGUCGAAGAUACCAGCUGGCUGCAACUGUUUAUUAAAAACACAGCACUGUGCAAACACGAAAGUGGACGUAUACGGUGUGACGCCUGCCCGGUGCCGGAAGGUUAAUUGAUGGGGUCAGCGCAAGCGAAGCUCCUGAUCGAAGCCCCGGUAAACGGCGGCCGUAACUAUAACGGUCCUAAGGUAGCGAAAUUCCUUGUCGGGUAAGUUCCGACCUGCACGAAUGGCGUAAUGAUGGCCAGGCUGUCUCCACCCGAGACUCAGUGAAAUUGAACUCGCUGUGAAGAUGCAGUGUACCCGCGGCAAGACGGAAAGACCCCGUGAACCUUUACUAUAGCUUGACACUGAACAUUGAGCCUUGAUGUGUAGGAUAGGUGGGAGGCUUUGAAGCGUGGACGCCAGUCUGCGUGGAGCCGGCCUUGAAAUACCACCCUUUAAUGUUUGAUGUUCUAACGUGGACCCGUAAUCCGGGUUGCGGACAGUGUCUGGUGGGUAGUUUGACUGGGGCGGUCUCCUCCUAAAGAGUAACGGAGGAGCACGAAGGUUGGCUAAUCCUGGUCGGACAUCAGGAGGUUAGUGCAAUGGCAUAAGCCAGCUUGACUGCGAGCGUGACGGCGCGAGCAGGUGCGAAAGCAGGUCAUAGUGAUCCGGUGGUUCUGAAUGGAAGGGCCAUCGCUCAACGGAUAAAAGGUACUCCGGGGAUAACAGGCUGAUACCGCCCAAGAGUUCAUAUCGACGGCGGUGUUUGGCACCUCGAUGUCGGCUCAUCACAUCCUGGGGCUGAAGUAGGUCCCAAGGGUAUGGCUGUUCGCCAUUUAAAGUGGUACGCGAGCUGGGUUUAGAACGUCGUGAGACAGUUCGGUCCCUAUCUGCCGUGGGCGCUGGAGAACUGAGGGGGGCUGCUCCUAGUACGAGAGGACCGGAGUGGACGCAUCACUGGUGUUCGGGUUGUCAUGCCAAUGGCACUGCCCGGUAGCUAAAUGCGGAAGAGAUAAGUGCUGAAAGCAUCUAAGCACGAAACUUGCCCCGAGAUGAGUUCU
This 1551-nucleotide ribosomal RNA is filed under the name Salmonella enterica subsp. enterica serovar Derby. Its description in RNAcentral is "bacterial LSU rRNA". It matches the Rfam family "Bacterial large subunit ribosomal RNA", at positions 1278 to 2812 of the family's 2925-position model. The record is from RNAcentral. Lineage: Bacteria; Pseudomonadati; Pseudomonadota; Gammaproteobacteria; Enterobacterales; Enterobacteriaceae.